RNAcentral lists this ribosomal RNA (102 nucleotides) under uncultured bacterium. Its description in RNAcentral is "partial 16S ribosomal RNA". The record is from RNAcentral.
CACCGCCCGUCACACCAUGGGAGUUGGCUCUACCCGGAAGACGGUUGUGCUAACCUCGCAAGAGGAGGGCAGCCGGCCACGGUCGGGUCAGCGACUGGGGUG